UCUCACAUCACUUCCCUCACAG
RNAcentral lists this microRNA (22 nucleotides) under Drosophila melanogaster (fruit fly). RNAcentral describes it as "dme-miR-1004-3p". Lineage: Eukaryota; Metazoa; Arthropoda; Insecta; Diptera; Drosophilidae. The record is from miRBase by way of RNAcentral.